Long non-coding RNA from Hippoglossus stenolepis (Pacific halibut), 408 nucleotides. RefSeq lists it as uncharacterized. The transcript is spliced from 2 exons. The record is from RefSeq and is a predicted model, not a curated record. Lineage: Eukaryota; Metazoa; Chordata; Actinopteri; Pleuronectiformes; Pleuronectidae.
UUGGCUGCUGGCCAGUCCGCACUGGGCUGCCUGAAAAAAGCAAUUACCGCCCCUGCGGUUUCAAGGCGGCCCCGCGCUCCACGAUGAAAGCAGAUAAGCAGGGCCGGUUUCAAGGCGGCCCCCACGGAGAGCCCCGCUGGCCCCCCGAGCCGCAGCAGAGUCAAGAGUGACUCAAUCAAAGGGAAUACGACCCCGGCGUGCAUGACCUCUUCCUCCGCGGCGAGGGAGCCACACAUCCCGGCAGCUUUUUUUCCCUCCUGCCGUCCAGCCCCGCGGCCAGCCGAGGCACGGUCCUCCCUAUAGUUCUGGAGGAGGUGUGGCGACUGCGCAGUGCGGUCUGUAUGUCACAAUCGAAUGAAAUAAAUGUAUAAAUAAAUCAUAAAAACAUCAUUUAUGGUGUUAAAUUCA